RNAcentral lists this ribosomal RNA (1059 nucleotides) under Apilactobacillus kunkeei. Its description in RNAcentral is "bacterial SSU rRNA". It matches the Rfam family "Bacterial small subunit ribosomal RNA", at positions 342 to 1389 of the family's 1533-position model. The record is from RNAcentral. Lineage: Bacteria; Bacillati; Bacillota; Bacilli; Lactobacillales; Lactobacillaceae.
CGGGAGGCAGCAGUAGGGAAUCUUCCACAAUGGACGAAAGUCUGAUGGAGCAACGCCGCGUGAGUGAUGAAGGUUUUCGGAUCGUAAAACUCUGUUGUUAAAGAAGAACAAGUGUUAGAGUAACUGUUAACACUUUGACGGUAUUUAACCAGAAAGCCACGGCUAACUACGUGCCAGCAGCCGCGGUAAUACGUAGGUGGCAAGCGUUGUCCGGAUUUAUUGGGCGUAAAGCGAGCGCAGGCGGUUUUGUAAGUCUGCUGUGAAAGCCCUCAGCUCAACUGAGGAAGUGCAGUGGAAACUACAAAACUUGAGUACAGAAGAGGAAAGUGGAACUCCAUGUGUAGCGGUGAAAUGCGUAGAUAUAUGNAAGAACACCAGUGGCGAAGGCGGCUUUCUGGUCUGUUACUGACGCUGAGGCUCGAAAAGCAUGGGUAGCGAACAGGAUUAGAUACCCUGGGUAGUCCAUGCCGUAAAACGAUGAAUACUAGGUGUUGGAGGGUUUCCGCCCNUUCAGUGCCGCAGCUAACGCAUUAAGUAUUCCGCCUGGGGAGUACGACCGCAAGGUUGAAACUCAAAGGAAUUGACGGGGGCCCGCACAAGUGGUGGAGCAUGUGGUUUAAUUCGAUGCUACGCGAAGAACCUUACCAGCUCUUGACAUCUUCUGCCAACCCAAGAGAUUGGGCGUUCCCUUCGGGGACAGAAUGACAGGUGGUGCAUGGUUGUCGUCAGCUCGUGUCGUGAGAUGUUGGGUUAAGUCCCGCAACGAGCGCAACCCUUAUUAUUAGUUGCCAGCAUUUAGUUGGGCACUCUAGUGAGACUGCCGGUGAUAAACCGGAGGAAGGUGGGGACGACGUCAAAUCAUCAUGCCCCUUAUGAGCUGGGCUACACACGUGCUACAAUGGAUGGUACAACGAGUCGCGAAACCGCGAGGUCAAGCUAAUCUCUUAAAGCCAUUCUCAGUUCGGAUUGCAGGCUGCAACUCGCCUGCAUGAAGUUGGAAUCACUAGUAAUCGUGGAUCAGCAUGCCANCGGUGAAUACGUUCCCGGGCCUUGUACACA